This 82-nucleotide transfer RNA is filed under the name Bacteroidota bacterium. RNAcentral describes it as "Bacteroidetes bacterium tRNA-Leu". It matches the Rfam family "tRNA". Rfam says of the family: Transfer RNA (tRNA) molecules are approximately 80 nucleotides in length. Their secondary structure includes four short double-helical elements and three loops (D, anti-codon, and T loops). Lineage: Bacteria; Pseudomonadati; Bacteroidota. The record is from RNAcentral.
GCCGGAGUGAUGAAAUUGGUAGACAUGCACGUUUCAGAGGCGUGUGCUGCAAGGCGUGCGGGUUCAAGUCCCGCUUCCGGCA